AUCUCUUGACUUUUCAGCUAAGAUCAACUGUAAGGCCCAUUCUUAUCAGUUUAAUAUCUGAUAUGUUCUCUACCUGAGGACUAUAUAUUACGUGGGUUUUGGGAGCAGGGAUGUGGACUAGGAGUUUGCUUUAUCCAUUCCACACAUCAACCUGGUAUUGCAGGACUUCCUGGACAGUGCACCCCAU
Small nuclear RNA from Artibeus jamaicensis (Jamaican fruit-eating bat), 187 nucleotides. RefSeq annotates it as U2 spliceosomal RNA. The transcript has a single exon. The record is from RefSeq and is a predicted model, not a curated record. NCBI's taxonomy places the organism in Eukaryota, Metazoa, Chordata, Mammalia, Chiroptera, Phyllostomidae.